UCUGCCCUAACAUGCAAGUCGAACGAUGAUGCCCAGCUUGCUGGGUGGAUUAGUGGCGAACGGGUUGAAACACGUGAGUAACCUGCCCCUGACUCUGGGAUAAGCGUUGGAAACGACGUCUAAUACUGGAUAUGACUGCCGGCCGCAUGGUCUGGUGGUGGAAAGAUUUUUUGGUUGGGGAUGGACUCGCGGCCUAUCAGCUUGUUGGUGAGGUAAUGGCUCACCAAGGCGACGACGGGUAGCCGGCCUGAGAGGGUGACCGGCCACACUGGGACUGAGACACGGCCCAGACUCCUACGGGAGGCAGCAGUGGGGAAUAUUGCACAAUGGGCGAAAGCCUGAUGCAGCAACGCCGCGUGAGGGAUGACGGCCUUCGGGUUGUAAACCUCUUUUAGUAGGGAAGAAGCGAAAGUGACGGUACCUGCAGAAAAAGCACCGGCUAACUACGUGCCAGCAGCCGCGGUAAUACGUAGGGUGCAAGCGUUGUCCGGAAUUAUUGGGCGUAAAGAGCUCGUAGGCGGUUUGUCGCGUCUGCUGUGAAAUCCCGAGGCUCAACUUCGGGCUUGCAGUGGGUACGGGCAGACUAGAGUGCGGUAGGGGAGAUUGGAAUUCCUGGUGUAGCGGUGGAAUGCGCAGAUAUCAGGAGGAACACCGAUGGCGAAGGCAGAUCUCUGGGCCGUAACUGACGCUGAGGAGCGAAAGCGUGGGGAGCGAACAGGAUUAGAUACCCUGGUAGUCCACGCCGUAAACGUUGGGCGCUAGAUGUAGGGACCUUUCCACGGUUUCUGUGUCGUAGCUAACGCAUUAAGCGCCCCGCCUGGGGAGUACGGCCGCAAGGCUAAAACUCAAAGGAAUUGACGGGGGCCCGCACAAGCGGCGGAGCAUGCGGAUUAAUUCGAUGCAACGCGAAGAACCUUACCAAGGCUUGACAUACACCGGAAACGGCCAGAGAUGGUCGCCCCCUUGUGGUCGGUGUACAGGUGGUGCAUGGUUGUCGUCAGCUCGUGUCGUGAGAUGUUGGGUUAAGUCCCGCAACGAGCGCAACCCUCGUUCUAUGUUGCCAGCGCGUUAUGGCGGGGACUCAUAGGAGACUGCCGGGGUCAACUCGGAGGAAGGUGGGGAUGACGUCAAAUCAUCAUGCCCCUUAUGUCUUGGGCUUCACGCAUGCUACAAUGGCCGGUACAAAGGGCUGCGAUACCGUAAGGUGGAGCGAAUCCCAAAAAGCCGGUCUCAGUUCGGAUUGAGGUCUGCAACUCGACCUCAUGAAGUCGGAGUCGCUAGUAAUCGCAGAUCAGCAACGCUGCGGUGAAUACGUUCCCGGGCCUUGUACACACCGCCCGUCAAGUCAUGAAAGUCGGUAACACCCGAAGCCGGUUG
RNAcentral lists this ribosomal RNA (1377 nucleotides) under Curtobacterium sp. FSGSY21. Its description in RNAcentral is "bacterial SSU rRNA". It matches the Rfam family "Bacterial small subunit ribosomal RNA". The record is from RNAcentral. Lineage: Bacteria; Bacillati; Actinomycetota; Actinomycetes; Micrococcales; Microbacteriaceae.